GUUUUUAUAGUUUAAUAAUAAAACAUUAAUUUUGUAAAUUAAAAAUAAUUUUAAUAUUUAAAAACU
RNAcentral lists this transfer RNA (66 nucleotides) under Inocellia sinensis. Its description in RNAcentral is "tRNA-Thr". Lineage: Eukaryota; Metazoa; Arthropoda; Insecta; Raphidioptera; Inocelliidae. The record is from RNAcentral.